GUAAGGCUGAGGGCGGUAAGGCGGACUCGGACAGAGUGAAUAUGUUACCCUUGAAUAUUAGGUCAUAUACUGAACCCCAAUAGAAACCUUUUUCUAGACGCUUUAUUUCUUUCCCAUCUUUCAAGACUAUGAUGGUCGGGACAUUAAUAACCUUGUAUAGUCUUGCAAAGAAUGCCUUCUCCAAAAUGUCGGCUUUGUAGAGUGAAAUACGGUUACCAUAGUAUCUGGCCAGUUGGGUUACUUGUUCAUCUACUAUAUCACACGGAUGUUAACGUAAGCAAUAUGGGUUGUUGGGCAUCCAUCAGAAAGCGUUCCCACUUAGUUUCCUGACUUUGCACUUCCCCUGCAUAUCUCGAAACAAUAGAUGAUCAAACAAAGAGGAGAUAACUGAUUAGAAUUAAUGUCACAUCCCGGUUCUUCCAAACCGGAAUGGUUUUGUUUUCUUAUUAAUUUAACUUGAUUUGGACCAAAACCCAUCAAGUGUUUCUCUUUUAUUUUUGGCCCGCGUAGUAAACCAUAGGGUUUCCACCUCAUUUUUUUAUAAAAAGGAGUCUCCUCUUUCUUUUCUCUUCCAUUUAGAAAUCAGAGCGAAGCCCUGCAGAGUUCCAGAGAUUUGAAAACCCUAGCCGUCAUGGUUUCUCUUUCUCUGCUCUCUCUCUCUCUCUCUCUCUCUCUCUCUUCUCUCUCUCUCUCUCUCUCUCUCUCUCUCUCUCUCUUCUCUCUCUCUCUUCUCCUUGUGUUUGCUGUUUGCUGAAGGCUGGAGCCAAGCCGUUGGAGAUCCCCGAUCAACCGAUCCAAUUCUAUGUCCAGAUCUCUCCAUGUCUUCUUUCUAGAUCUGGUCACUGGUGAGAUCUGGUUCGUUGAAAGCCAUAAGCUUCAGAUCUGGUUCUACUCUCUUUCCCAUUCUCAGAUCUAAGACCAAGGUUCGGCUCAUAUUGGUGGAUUUUUGUCUAAGACGUCCUGGGAUCCUAAAGACACAUUGUUUCGGCCUUGUGGCUGGAGACAAGUGUCAUGAUAUCGCCGACCAUUUCAGCUACGCUGGGUCGGGGUGUCACAAUUAAUCUAUAUGAUGAGAUGGUUAAUAAUCAUUUAUACCUUGACCAAAGCCACUACCGACCAAGUACAUUAGUAUUACUACCAAAACCGUUUUCUCCAUUGAUCGCUUUUCUCCCACACACACUCUUUCUUUUCUUGUUUUAUUUAUAGCCCAUGUGGUCUCGUUUUAUAAGCUUGAAAAGUCAGCAGUUUUACAAUUAACCAAUAACUAAUGAUCCAAUCAACACCAUCUCGUGUCUUAGCUGUCUCUUUUAUUUAAGCUAGCUGUCUCACUAACGUGAAUUUCAUUAUGAAUCAUUCUUUUAUUAUAAGUCAAGUCGAUAAAAUAAACGAAGUGUAAUUUAAAAUAUUAUGAAAAAAUUUAAUUUGUAUAAAACCUAAACAAUGAUUACAAUAUAUUCCAUCUUUUACAUUGUAUACUAUUUUAUUUGUUUUUUAAUCACUAAAUUAUAUAUACAAAAUUAUUUAACGUUAUUGAAUUAAAGUUGCCUACGCGUUUGCAAUAGAAAAAUUCUCUUGGAAAGUAUUUUUUAGUUUAUUUUCACAAACAUAGUUUUUAAGGAAGAAAGUGACCAAAAUAGGUUUUAUUAAAAAGUAAAUAUACAUAUAUUUCUAGGAUUAACUAAUUUAGACUUAGUAUUUAGAGUUAAAUGAUGAGAUUUUGGAGAUGAAGUUUUAAAUUUAAAUAUCUUUUAAAAAAUAUUAAAAUUUUCAAAAAGAGAAUUGUCAUUUAAUUUAAAAAAAAAAGAUAUUUGAGAGAAUUGUCAUUUUCAAAAAGAUAAAAAUAAUCAUUUUAUUCUAAAAUAUAUGAAAUAUCUAUAUUAUUAAAGUAAAAUCUCUAAUAUAUUAUGAGCUGUCAAAUGGUAUGUCCAUGGUCCAAUUGGGCAUGACCACUUGGACCAUUUCAGUUUUGGGUAGUAAUGGGUGGUUCAUAUUGGACAAUUGUCCAAACAAAUGAUCAAAAUCAAUAGAGACCAUGUCCAAAUGGGCAAGCCCAUAGACAUCCAAUAAUAUUUAUAAUUAUUUAUAAUUAUUAGUUUAUAUUUUAUUUUUAAAAUUUUAAAAUUAUGUUUAUUUUCCAAAAUUAUAAAAGUAUUUUUUUGUCAAAACUGUAAAACUAUGUUUUCUUCUCAAAAUCGAGAAAUUUCAUUUUUCCGCAAAAACUGAAAAAUUGCGUUUUCCCGCUAAAACAAAAAAAUUACGUUUUUCCGCCAAAACCAAGAAAUUGUGUUUUCCCGCCAAAACUGAGAAAUUGCGUUUUCCCGCCAAAACCGAGAAAUUGUGUGUUUUCCGCCAAAACCAAAAAAUGCGUUUUCCGCCAAAACCGAGAAAUUGUGUUUUUUUGCCAAAACCAAAAAAUGCGUUUUUCCGCCAAAACUGAGAAAUUGUGUUUUCCCGUCAAUGCUGAGGAAUUGCGCUUUUCCGCCGAAACCGAGAAAUUGUGUGUUUUCCGCCAAAACCAAAAAAUUAUGUUUUCCCGCCAAAACCGUAAAAUUAUGCUUUCCCGCCAAAACCGAGAAAUUGUGUUUUUCCUCCAAAACCGAGAUAUUGUGUUUUUCUGCCAAAACCGAGAAAUUUUAUUUUUCCGCCAAAAUCGAGAAAUAUCAUUUUUCCGCCAAAAUCGAGAAAUUUCAUUUUUUCGCAAAAAAACCAAGAUAUUGUGUUUUCCCGCCAAAAUCCGAGAAAUAGCGUUUUUCCGCCAAAACCGAGAAAUUAUGUUUUUCCGCCAAAACAAAAAAUGCGUUUUUCCGCCAAAACCGAGAAAUUGUGUUUUCCCGCCAAAACCGAGGAAUUGCGUUUUCUCGCCGAAACAGAGAAAUUGUGUUUUUCCGCCAAAACAAAAAAAAUUGUGUUUUCCCGCCAACACCAAAAAAUUAUGUUUUCCCGCCAAAACCGAGUAAUUGUUUUUUUCUGCCAAAAC
This is a long non-coding RNA of Brassica rapa (field mustard), 2977 nucleotides long. RefSeq lists it as uncharacterized. The record is from RefSeq and is a predicted model, not a curated record. Lineage: Eukaryota; Viridiplantae; Streptophyta; Magnoliopsida; Brassicales; Brassicaceae.